This 429-nucleotide ribosomal RNA is filed under the name uncultured bacterium. RNAcentral describes it as "bacterial SSU rRNA". It matches the Rfam family "Bacterial small subunit ribosomal RNA", at positions 55 to 527 of the family's 1533-position model. The record is from RNAcentral.
AUGCAAGUCGACGGGCUCUUCGGAGCAAGUGGCGGACGGGUGAGUAACGCGUGAGAAUGUGCCUUGAGGAUGGGGAUAACAAUAGGAAACUAAUGCUAAGACCCAAUGUGCCUUAAGUGGUGAAAAAUGAAAAUUGCCUGAAGAGGAGCUCGCGUCUGAUUAGCUAGUUGGGGUGGUAAAAGCGCACCAAGGCGACGAUCAGUAGCUGGUCUGAGAGGAUGAGCAGCCACACUGGGACUGAGACACGGCCCAGACUCCUACGGGAGGCAGCAGUGGGGAAUUUUCCGCAAUGGGCGAAAGCCUGACGGAGCAAUACCGCGUGAGGGAGGAAGGCUCUUGGGUUGUAAACCUCAAAACUUAGGGAAGAAAAAAAUGACGGUACCUAAUAUAAGCAUCGGCUAACUCCGUGCCAGCAGCCGCGGUAAUACG